RNAcentral lists this ribosomal RNA (1192 nucleotides) under human gut metagenome. RNAcentral's name for it is "bacterial LSU rRNA". It matches the Rfam family "Bacterial large subunit ribosomal RNA", at positions 804 to 1980 of the family's 2925-position model. The record is from RNAcentral.
AUGAGGUGUGGGUAGCGGUGAAAUUCCAAUCGAACUUGGAGAUAGCUGGUUCUCCCCGAAAUAGCUUUAGGGCUAGCCUCAGGGAAAAGAUUGCAGGCGGUAGAGCACUGAUCAGGAGAGGGACCUACCCGGUUACCAAACCCAGUCAAACUCCGAAUGGCUGCAAUCAUACCUGGGAGUCAGACUGCGACUAAUAAGGGCCGUAGUCAAAAGGGAAACAGCCCAGACCAUCAGCUAAGGUCCCCAAUGCCGUGCUAAGUGGCGAAGGAUGUGGCAUUUCAUAAACAACCAGGAUGUUGGCUCAGAAGCAGCCACCAUUUAAAGAGUGCGUAAUAGCUCACUGGUCGAGAGACGCUGCGCCGAAAAUGUCCGGGGCUCAAGCACGGAACCGAAGCUAUGGCAUGAUAGCAAUAUCAUGGGUAGGGGAGCGUUCUUAUAAGGAAGAAGCAUGACCGGAAGGACAUGUGGACGAAUAAGAAGUGAGAAUGCCGGUAUGAGUAUCGAAAAGAAAGGUGAGAAUCCUUUCCACCGAAAGCCCGAGGGUUCCUGAGCAACGAUCGUCGACUCAGGGUAAGUCGGGACCUAAGCCGAGGCGAGAAGCGUAGGCGAUGGACAACAGGUUGAAAUUCCUGUACCGGAUCAAGUCGAUCGAGCGAAGGAGCGACGCAGGAGGGCACAUGAUCGCGCGGCUGGAAGAGCGCGUCCAAGUGCGUAUGUUGCUGCAGAGGAAAACCCCUGCGGCUGAAAGCAGAGACAUGAUGGGGAGUUAAAGGAAACUUUGACGAACUCAUGGAUCCCACACUGCCAAGAAAAACUUCUAGCGAGACAAGAUCCGCCCGUACCGUAAACCGACACAGGUAGGCGGGGAGAGAAUCCUAAGGUGCGCGGGAAAACCCUCGUUAAGGAACUCGGCAAAUUGCAUCCGUAACCUAGGGAGAAGGAUGGCCCCCGGUCAGUGAAGAGCAGAAACGCUCAGAGCUAAAAGGGGCGGCAGAAAAGAGGCCCAAGCAACUGUUUACCAAAAACACAGGUGCCUGCGAAAGCGAAAGCUGAAGUAUAGGUGCUGACGCCUGCCCGGUGCCGGAAGGUUAAGGAGAGAAGUUAGCGAAAGCGAAGCAUCGAACUGAAGCCCCGGUGAACGGCGGCCGUAACUAUAACGGUCCUAAGGUAGCGAAAUUCCUUGUCGGGUAAG